Molecule: ribosomal RNA, 830 nt
Filed under: uncultured marine archaeon
Lineage: Archaea
Description: bacterial SSU rRNA
Rfam family: Archaeal small subunit ribosomal RNA
Source: RNAcentral
CUGACUGCUAUCGGAUUGAUACUAAGCCAUGCGAGUCAUUGUAGUAAUACAAGGCAGACGGCUCAGCAACGCGUAGUCACCUAACCUAUGGACGGGAAUAACCUCGGGAAACUGAGUAUAAUGCCCGAUAGAACAUUAUGCCUGGAAUGGUUUAUGUUCCAAACGAUUUAUCGCCGUAGGAUGGGACUGCGGCCUAUCAGUUUGUUGGUGAGGUAAUGGCCCACCAAGACUAUUACAGGUACGGGCUCUGAGAGGAGUAGCCCGGAGAUGGGUACUGAGACACGGACCCAGGCCCUAUGGGGCGCAGCAGGCGAGAAAACUUUGCAAUGUGCGAAAGCACGACAAGGUUAAUCCGAGUGGUUUCUGCUAAAGGAACCUUUUGUCGGUCCUAGAAACACCGAUGAAUAAGGGGUGGGCAAGUUCUGGUGUCAGCCGCCGCGGUAAAACCAGCACCUCAAGUGGUCAGGAUGAUUAUUGGGCCUAAAGCAUCCGUAGCCGGCUCUGUUAGUUUUCGGUUAAAUCUGUACGCUCAACGUACAGGCUGCCGGGAAUACUGCAAAGCUAGGGAGUGGGAGAGGUAGACGGUACUCGGUAGGAAGGGGUAAAAUCCUUUGAUCUAUUGAUGACCACCUGUGGCGAAGGCGGUCUACCAGAACACGUCCGACGGUGAGGGAUGAAAGCUGGGGGAGCAAACCGGGAUUAGAUACCCGGGUAGUCCCAGCUGUAAACUAUGCAAACUCAGUGAUGCAUUGGCUUGUGGCCAAUGCAGUGCUGCAGGGAAGCCGUUAAGUUUGCCGCCUGGGAAGUACGUACGCAAGUAUGAAACUUAA